Molecule: transfer RNA, 74 nt
Filed under: Spirochaetaceae bacterium
Lineage: Bacteria; Pseudomonadati; Spirochaetota; Spirochaetia; Spirochaetales; Spirochaetaceae
Also listed under: 3 other names
Description: tRNA-Ile
Rfam family: tRNA
About the family: Transfer RNA (tRNA) molecules are approximately 80 nucleotides in length. Their secondary structure includes four short double-helical elements and three loops (D, anti-codon, and T loops).
Source: RNAcentral
GGGCCCUUAGCUCAGUCGGUCAGAGCUGCGGACUCAUAAUCCGUAGGUCGCUGGUUCAAGUCCAGCAGGGCCCA